AUGCAUGUUUGCAUGCUUGUGCUUCUGUCUUUACAAUCUAUACUACUGCUAUUGUCAUAUCAUGGUUGUUUUGUUGCUAUCAAUAUUUGUCCCAUGUUCUGUUUCCUUGCAUGCUUACUACUACAAUCUAUACUACUGCUAUUGUCAUAUCUACUACUUGUGGCAUCUAUAUCUGCUAUUGUCAUAUCUGUGUUCACAUGUACAGUCAAACAUCUUUGUACUAAUGCUGUUGUUGUAUGGCAAACACCAGAGGCAAAUCAUAUUUGUGAUGCAGUUUAUGUAACUUGGCAUUUCUACAUGGCUUGUUUACAUUGGCAAUUAUACACUGAUGAUGAUGUUUACCUGCACUGCUUAAUUUUGUUUAUCUUGAUAUUGAUGGAAUAA
This 384-nucleotide ribosomal RNA is filed under the name Triticum aestivum (bread wheat). RNAcentral describes it as "partial small subunit ribosomal RNA". Lineage: Eukaryota; Viridiplantae; Streptophyta; Magnoliopsida; Poales; Poaceae. The record is from RNAcentral.